GCGGUGUUCAGAGCUCACAGACACUCACAAACCAAAGGGACCAGCUUAGACACAGACUUAGCUAGAAGAGUACUUACUACUCUCUUCUUUUCCCCUUUCUACAUGCACUGGCUAUGUUGCUGGUAGCCAACAUCUGCCCUACAAAUGGACAACAGUGUCUCAGUGCAGCUUUCCUAUGUACUAUUUACUUACUCAUUCUUCCCUUGCUGCUAGGGAGUGGGAACACAUAUCCCAGGGGUCGGAGCCUGAGGCAAGUAGGAAAUAAGACUGUCCCUGUAGUCUUGAAAAGAGAAUGUUAGGGUAGAACCCCUCUGUCCUACUGUCGCCUUGCACUAGGCAACAACUGUGAUGUCUGGUUUCAGUCAAGAAUGAUUAAUGAACGAUGUGUGUUUGUCCCUAGCAGAUGCUUGUAGGGAAGGAGGAUUUGACCCUCACUGAGUGAAGGAGUUGCUGAUUUAGUCAAGUCAAGAACAGGAUGCGACGCUUUGGUCUAGUGCAUUGACAUUUGCAUCUCUGAGUGAGAAUGCUUAUUUUCAUUGGAGGAACAGCAAGACUGCCUUUUGAAACAUUUAAAGGGGAGCACGCAGAGAAAAGCAGGCGUGUGAAGAGGCUGCUUGCUGGCACAGCAGACCACAGCAUUUGCUACGGCGGUCGUAGAUCAGGCUGCUCACGGAAAGGGGCCCUUGUCUGAAGAUUCCCACUCCAGUCCCAUUGACUUUAUGGAUAGUCCUCGGGAUCUUGUCUGAGCACAUCCAAAUGUUUGUACAGCACCUGAUGCAAACAGGCCGUCGUCCUGCUUCAUUUGUCAAAUGAUAAAUAACAUAAUAAUGCUGUAAUUGGAGUCAUUCAUACAGACAGUAAUCAUCUGGUGAUUCAGUACAGCACAGACUUGUGAGGUGGAAGGCUGCGCUAAGCUUAUGCAGAGACUUCUAUCUUGCUCAUCAGUUUCUGCACGCUAAAUAUAUUCUGAAUUU
RNAcentral lists this long non-coding RNA (974 nucleotides) under Gallus gallus (chicken). Its description in RNAcentral is "long non-coding RNA NONGGAT000978". Lineage: Eukaryota; Metazoa; Chordata; Aves; Galliformes; Phasianidae. The record is from RNAcentral.